RNAcentral lists this transfer RNA (72 nucleotides) under Stegodyphus mimosarum. It matches the Rfam family "tRNA". Rfam says of the family: Transfer RNA (tRNA) molecules are approximately 80 nucleotides in length. Lineage: Eukaryota; Metazoa; Arthropoda; Arachnida; Araneae; Eresidae. The record is from Rfam by way of RNAcentral.
GCCUUUGUGGUUUAGUGGGCAGCACGCUGGGCGCGUAUUCCAGAGGUCUGUGGUUCGAAUCCGUCGAGGGCA